AUCGCAUCAUCCAUGGUGGUGUAU
This 24-nucleotide non-coding RNA is filed under the name Arabidopsis thaliana (thale cress). Lineage: Eukaryota; Viridiplantae; Streptophyta; Magnoliopsida; Brassicales; Brassicaceae. The record is from RNAcentral.